UUUGUCCGAUUUCAUUAUGUGAGUCCAAUGAUUCGAUAAAUGUUUUCAAUAUAUCUCACUGUUGUUCUUCUUCAUGUUACGCUAAAUGACUUGUACCUUGACUGUUCUUGAAUCGCUUUUCUUCAAUUUGUUCUUGCGUCUUCAUUUUCUUCUCAUCAUCCUUUGAAAUCGAUUAAUCUUGUUUGUAAUUCCAACUUUGUGAAUCGAUUUUAUUUUAUGAGUUCAAGUUCAAAAUCGAUGAUGAUCAAAGUAAUCACUAUGAAGUCGAAAAUUAGAUCUUGAUGAAAUUAAUCAAGAAUUCUCAAAUUACUAUGAAGAAGUUGUUUAGAACUGAUGUUUGAACAUAUUUUGAUCCAUGAUCUGGUGUUGGAAUCCUCGAUUUUCUGUUUAUUGAUUAUUGGCAUAGAAAAGUCAAUCACAGAAAAAGUCAAACAUGAGUUCUAUGGGUUGAUUCAGGGAAUUGAAAGUAGAAAUCGUUGGAUUUGAGUUGAAUAUGAGAUUUGGAUGAGGAAAUCGAGUCUAAUUUGGGAAUUAAUUUCGAAAAUUCGAUGUGUUCUUGUUCUGGUGUGAAAGGCAGUGACAUAAGUUCUUGUUCGUCACUAGAAAUUGAUUUCAAAAUUGGAAGUCAAAAUGCGUCAUAUGCGAAUUCGAUUUUGAGUUUGAUUAACUAGGAGUCGAUAUUGCGAAGGAUAUGUUGGAGUCGAUGAUUUUAUUGAUUUGGUUUGAGUUCGCAAGUUCGAUCGACGACGAUUGAAGUCGAUUGUUUGGUUUCAUUGGGUUUUGAUAGACAAAUUGUAUUUGGGAAAUAUUUGAAGAGUCACAGGUUGGAAUCAAUUGUUGAUGAAUAAAAAGCAAAGUCGGCAACCUGGAUCAUUAGUCUGGGUCUCAUCUGCGAAUGGUCGAUGACUUGGAUUUUGUAAAUAGAAUUGAUUUUGGUAUCGGUGGUAUGGAUUUCGCAAAUAAGAAGUGAUGUCAAUUUUUGAUUUUGCAUCGAGUUCUUCAUUCGCAUCUGUAAUUAUGGUGUGAAGACCUGUGAAGAUUUGGAGUUCUAUAGGAAUCGCAUCUGGGUCUCAAUUUUGGGUUCGCAUAUUGAUCUUGUUUGGGUUCGCAUCUGCCAUGUUUGUUCAAUUUGCAUUUGUGUGAACCAAAAUCAGGUUUGCAUUUGUGUGAAUGGAGUUCGCAUAUGAGAUCAAAACAUGAGUUCGCAUUUGGUUGAUUGGGGUUAAAAUGCGAUGGUGAUUAAGGUUGAAAUUCAGUUCGCAUGUGGUUACUUGGGAUAAAGAUGUGAAAUUUUCUUAUACAUCGUUCGCAUUCAUGAUUCACAAACGUGCGAAGAGUUAAAGAUGCGAAGUAAGGAACGUGCGAAGUUUUCACUGCAUAUGGUGACGCACGAGUACGCCCAGCGUACCGAAGCGGUUCCCAGCCCCUAUAAAAGGGAUGCGAAGGUUCCGAAGAAAGAGCUCCAUUUCUCCUAACAUUCUUGCGUUCUUGCCUCGUUUUUCGUGCCCGUGCUAACCCGAAGCCCCCGUCACUUUGCUCAAGUCCCGAAGGCCGUUUGUGCUCCCAAGAUUCCCGGGAAUCCCGAGAAAAUCCGCUUUCUCGAGUCGAAGUUCUGCUCGAUUUUCAUCUCGCUUUUUUCCGAUCUUUCAAGUGAGUUCAUACCCCUUAAUUAACCUUUUAAAUAUUCUAUAAUUGGUUUAUAUGCUUGCAAGGGGGGGGGGAUACAAGUAAAACACACGAUUAUUAUCGUGUGUUAUAUAAAGUUUUAUUAUACACUUUUAUUCAACAGAAUCAUAUGUGAUUUAUAACCUUUAUAGGGAAACUUUCGUAUGCAAAAUAUAUCACGAAACAUUAUAUCUUUUGAAAUGAAAAAUGUUGUUAUAUACGUAUAAAUCAAACACUAUGCUUAGAUUUCAUGUAUAUGUGUCCAACUUAGACACUAUGAAAAUUUAUACUUUCAUAACAAGUGAUUCAUUUUCUGGGGAUUUCUAAACAAACAAGACACAUUUUUAGAAAACUAUAAUAGGUAUGGUUUUACAAGAACAUUACUAACUUUUACAUACUAGAAACACGAUUUUCAAGAAGUCACUUUCACAUACAAGAACAAACGAACAUUUUAACACGUAAAUCUGUUUUUAUACUAAGUUUUGUGAGACAUUAACUUCACGUACGUUCGAGUACACAUUUCAAGUCCUGUAUUAUAUACCAAAAUCCCUUGGAGGGGGAGCCUGGUGUUUGUGUAUAGAUCUAUACGGGCUUGACAACCCCGCGCCCUGACUGUUAGCUACAGUACACCAUUUGGGGUGACAAACGUCAGAACAUUCCAACGCCUGAAGAACGUUGUGUAUAGGCAAUCCGAGUCAAUAGCAUGGUUAUAAAACUCACAUGGGGUAUUAAAAAUACAUUGAUUUACGAGUUUUUUCAAACGUAUUGGAAAUUUUAUACGUACAUACAUUUUCUAGAAACAAACAUUGGUCUUAAUAGAAGGCUGCAUUUAUGCUAGUAGAAAAUAUGGGAUUUUCUAGGAACAAACAAACAAAAACAAAACAUUUCAUUUCAUACAAACAUUGUCAUUUAAUACUUAUGAAACUCAUCAGCUUAAAUGUUGAUCUACUCUUUCAAAACUACUUGUAUGUCCCAGGGAUUCAGUAAUUACAGGUAACAAACAACUUUUGAAGAAGGGACGUUGCGGCGCCAGUUUAAAUUCAUAUUUUGGCAUCAUAUUGUAAUUGGUUUUGAACAUGUACCUUUUAACAAUGUAAACUUUCAAUUAUAUAUAUGAUGGUUGUAUUGCUUUCUUUACUAUGUAUUCAUUUGUUACG
RNAcentral lists this long non-coding RNA (2822 nucleotides) under Lactuca sativa (garden lettuce). RNAcentral describes it as "long non-coding RNA (LSAT_LNC006902)". The record is from RNAcentral. Lineage: Eukaryota; Viridiplantae; Streptophyta; Magnoliopsida; Asterales; Asteraceae.